Molecule: long non-coding RNA, 847 nt
Organism: Cimex lectularius (bed bug)
Lineage: Eukaryota; Metazoa; Arthropoda; Insecta; Hemiptera; Cimicidae
Exons: 2
Source: RefSeq, a predicted model, not a curated record
UCUGGAAAAAAAACUUUAUAAUUUUGAACAAAUUAAUAAAAUUGGGUUGUAAAACAAGUCUGCAGCGUUUUUCAAUUUGAUUUUUAUCUCUCUUGGGUUUGAAAUCUAUUUUUACAAGGUGUUAUGCUAAUCCAGUCAAGGAAAACAGCGAGUGUUUGUCAUUUAAUGAUUGUUAUUACUGCAAAGUGAAAACCGCAGCUGACUGCUUGAAAAAUUUGUGAUGGUAAAUUUAAGAGAAAACAUCAUCUGAAUGUGGUUUAUCAGCUCAGAAGCGGAGAUUUGAUUUGGUAGCUGCAAUUCAAGUUGUCCUUCAACUAUUGAAGCACAAAUUUAAGUUUGUUCAUUUAAGUAGCACACCAACACCAAACAUUGUAAACACAUUUAAAUAUCUCAUACAAGUGUUUAAAUGCAUCUUAGAGCAGCUAUGAGAAUAUGUUUGUCAGAUUGAUAUAUGAGUUCCUCACAUGCUGAAUAAGAAGAAUUGAUUGGUAUGCAUUUUUUUUGUGAUCCCUCCCAAAACGCAAUGUAAACCCAUUUUUAAAAAGAUUGAUAACUGGAUAUGAACAGGGUCUUUAAUAACAAUGUUCAGAGAGGAAUAUCCUGGGGAAAAUGCAAUGAUGAUCAUCAGUAAUUCCAAAAGCUGGAAUCUCAAAAAGGAAAUGCUGUGCUUUUGGUGGGUUUGAAAAGGGGUGCAUUAUUAUGAGCUUUUCUCACCCAACUAAGCAAUUAAUUCUAGUGUAUACUACACACAAUUGAAGCGAUUAAAGUCAGCAAUUGACCAAAAGCACUCGAUAUUGGCUGAUCAUUUUCCACCAUGUUCUCACUUGCCACCACGUGUUUGCAGCUA